AGCCCCGUAGUGUAGUGGCCAAUCAUCCAGCUCUUUGGAAGCUGGGACCGCGGUUCGAAUCCGCGCGGGGCUA
RNAcentral lists this transfer RNA (73 nucleotides) under Nanobdellota archaeon. Its description in RNAcentral is "tRNA-Gln". It matches the Rfam family "tRNA". From Rfam's summary of the family: Transfer RNA (tRNA) molecules are approximately 80 nucleotides in length. Their secondary structure includes four short double-helical elements and three loops (D, anti-codon, and T loops). Lineage: Archaea; Nanobdellati; Nanobdellota. RNAcentral also lists the same sequence under 1 other name. The record is from RNAcentral.